UUUUGGACAAUGGGCGCAAGCCUGAUCCAGCCAUGCCGCGUGAGUGAAGAAGGCCUUCGGGUUGUAAAGCUCUUUCGGCGGGGACGAAACGGUUCGUGCUAAUACCACGGACUACUGACGGUACCCGCAGAAGAAGCACCGGCUAACUACGUGCCAGCAGCCGCGGUAAUACGUAGGGUGCAGGCGUUAAUCGGAAUUACUGGGCGUAAAGCGUGCGCAGGCGGUUUGUUAAGACAGGUGUGAAAUCCCCGGGCUUAACCUGGGAAUUGCGCUUGUAACUGGCAGACUGGAGUGUGGCAGAGGGGGGUGGAAUUCCAGGUGUAGCAGUGAAAUGCGUAGAUAUUUGGAGGAACACCGAUGGCGAAGGCAGCCCCCUGGGCUAACACUGACGCUCAUGCACGAAA
RNAcentral lists this ribosomal RNA (404 nucleotides) under uncultured bacterium. RNAcentral describes it as "bacterial SSU rRNA". It matches the Rfam family "Bacterial small subunit ribosomal RNA", at positions 362 to 758 of the family's 1533-position model. The record is from RNAcentral.